CCUCGAUGGUGAAGGGAGAGUCGGAGAGGCAAAUCCGCCGAUUCGUCUGCCAGGAAAAGCCUCUAAGGAGAGUUAGGUAACCGUACCACAAACCGACACAGGUGGACGAGAUGAAUAUUCUAAGGCGCUCGGGUGAUCGUAUGUUCAGGAACUAGGCACAUUAGCUCCGUAACUUCGGGAGAAGGAGUGCCCACGCAAGUGGGUCGCAGUGAAGAGUCUCAGGCGACUGUUUAACAAAAACACAGGUCUCUGCUAAGUCGAAAACGACGUAUAGGGGCUGACGCCUGCCCGGUGCCGGAAGGUUAAAGGGAGAGGUUAGCGCAAGCGAAGCUUUGAACUGAAGCCCCGGUGAACGGCGGCCGUAACGAUAACGGUCCUAAGGUAGCGAAAUUCCUUGUCGGGUAAGUUCCGACCUGCACGAAUGGCGUAACGAUCUGAGAACUGUCUUAACAUGCCGCCCGGCGAACUUGUGGUCCCGGUGAAGACGCCGGGUGCCCGCCACUAGACGAAAAGACCCCGUGCACCUUUACUAUACUUUUUCAUUGAUUUAUGGGGCCAUCUGCGCAGCAUAGGUGGGAGGCUUUGAUUCCAGGUUCUCGGACUUGGAGGAGCCAACGGUGAGAUACCACCCUGAUGGUUCUGUGAAUCUAACCUGUUCCCGUGAUCCGGGAAAGGGACAAUGGAAGACGGGUAGUUUGACUGGGGCGGUCGCCUCCUAAAUUGUAACGGAGGCGCGCGAAGCUAGGUUCAGGCUGUUUGGAAAUCAGCCGACGAGUGCAAAAGCAUAAACCUGGUUAACUGUAAGACCAACAAGUCGAGCAGAUACGAAAGUAGGCUUUAGUGAUCCGGUGAUUCUGUAUGGAAGGGUCAUCGCUCAACGGAUAAAAGGUACGCCGGGGAUAACAGGCUGAUCGGAGUCAAGAGUUCACAUCGACGCUCCGGUUUGGCACCUCGAUGUCGGCUCAUCGCAUCCUGGGGGUGUAGAAGCUCCCAAGGGUUAGGCUGUUCGCCUAUUAAAGCGGUACGUGAGCUGGGUUCAGAACGUCGCGAGACAGUUCGGUCUCUAUCUGUGGUGGGCGGAGGAAAUUUGAAGGGGCCUGCCCUUAGUACGAGAGGACCGGGGUGGACGAAUCUCUUGUGUUCCAGUUGUCUCACCAGAGGCAUAGCUGGGUAGCGAAAUUCGGUCAGGAUAAGCGCUGAAUGCAUAUAAGCGCGAAACCUUCCCUAAGAUGAGAUUUCCCAACGAAAGUAAGAAGAGCACUGGAAGACUACCAGUUUGAUAGGGCAGAUGUGUAAGCGUAGCAAUACGUUGAGCUUACUGCUACUAAUCGCUCGUUCGGCUUGACCAU
This 1349-nucleotide ribosomal RNA is filed under the name metagenome. RNAcentral describes it as "bacterial LSU rRNA". It matches the Rfam family "Bacterial large subunit ribosomal RNA", at positions 1542 to 2925 of the family's 2925-position model. The record is from RNAcentral.